This 465-nucleotide ribosomal RNA is filed under the name Vreelandella stevensii. RNAcentral's name for it is "partial 16S ribosomal RNA". It matches the Rfam family "Bacterial small subunit ribosomal RNA", at positions 338 to 795 of the family's 1533-position model. Lineage: Bacteria; Pseudomonadati; Pseudomonadota; Gammaproteobacteria; Oceanospirillales; Halomonadaceae. The record is from RNAcentral.
CCUACGGAGGGCAGCAGUGGGGAAUAUUGGACAAUGGGGGCAACCCUGAUCCAGCCAUGCCGCGUGUGUGAAGAAGGCCCUCGGGUUGUAAAGCACUUUCAGUGAGGAAGAACGCCUGGUGGUUAAUACCCAUCAGGAAAGACAUCACUCACAGAAGAAGCACCGGCUAACUCCGUGCCAGCAGCCGCGGUAAUACGGAGGGUGCGAGCGUUAAUCGGAAUUACUGGGCGUAAAGCGCGCGUAGGUGGCUUGAUAAGCCGGUUGUGAAAGCCCCGGGCUCAACCUGGGAACGGCAUCCGGAACUGUCAAGCUAGAGUGCAGGAGAGGAAGGUAGAAUUCCCGGUGUAGCGGUGAAAUGCGUAGAGAUCGGGAGGAAUACCAGUGGCGAAGGCGGCCUUCUGGACUGACACUGACACUGAGGUGCGAAAGCGUGGGUAGCAAACAGGAUUAGAUACCCCUGUAGUC